Molecule: small nucleolar RNA, 138 nt
Organism: Tachyglossus aculeatus (Australian echidna)
Lineage: Eukaryota; Metazoa; Chordata; Mammalia; Monotremata; Tachyglossidae
Source: RefSeq, a predicted model, not a curated record
CCCCUCUCAGGGUCGCACCUGGAGGGUUUUCAGUUCUCUACCAGUCUUGGCUAUUGGAGGGAUAGUCAAACCGAGGCCUACCCAUUCCAUUCCUAGCUUGGGCAGUGGCUAGCGAGUGGAAGGUAAUCUGCUACAAGU